RNAcentral lists this RNase P RNA (388 nucleotides) under Acidimicrobiia bacterium. RNAcentral's name for it is "RNase P RNA component class A". It matches the Rfam family "Bacterial RNase P class A". From Rfam's summary of the family: Ribonuclease P (RNase P) is a ubiquitous endoribonuclease, found in archaea, bacteria and eukarya as well as chloroplasts and mitochondria. Its best characterised activity is the generation of mature 5'-ends of tRNAs by cleaving the 5'-leader elements of precursor-tRNAs. The record is from RNAcentral. Lineage: Bacteria; Bacillati; Actinomycetota; Acidimicrobiia.
CGAGCCGGCCGGGCGGCCGCGUCACGGCUUCGACCGUGCCGAGGAACGUCCGGACUCCACAGGGCAGGGUGCUGGGUAACACCCAGUCGGGGCGACCCGCAGGACAGUGCCACAGAGAGCAGACCGCCGAUGGCCGGCUCCGGCCGGCACAGGCAAGGGUGAAACGGUGCGGUAAGAGCGCACCAGCGCCCGGGGCGACCCGGGCGGCUCGGCAAACCCCACCCGGAGCAAGGCCAGACAGGGGGAUGGGUGGCCCGCCUUCACCCCCGGGUAGGCCGCUGGAGCCGGCGGGCAACCGCCGGCCGAGAGGGAUGGCCGCCGCCGGCGCGAGCCGCUCCGCGGAGCGGUGGCGCCGGUACAGAAUCCGGCGUACAGGCCGGCUCGCCAC